Molecule: non-coding RNA, 1418 nt
Organism: Zonotrichia albicollis (white-throated sparrow)
Lineage: Eukaryota; Metazoa; Chordata; Aves; Passeriformes; Passerellidae
Source: RefSeq, a predicted model, not a curated record
UUCAAAGAAUUUCUCCACAAGAAGGUUUUAUACAAUGCAUUCAAAUUCCCUUUCUUUCUGCUUUUUUAUAAAGCAAACAGAAGGACUUCUUACAGUCUCUCACAGAAAGACAUUUUCUCCACCUCUAAAUAUGUUUAUGGCUUGUUUUCUGAACAAUUUGAUUAUGUCAUUUUUAAAAAAUAGCUAGCUAGAAAAUGCUAGCCUUAACUGAUCCUGCAGUCUUACAAGUAUGCUUUCUUUUUUUUUGCCAUUGCAGAAGACUGUUACGCAAACCACUGAAAAUGAAUGUCAAAUUGCUCAUCCAGCACUUCCCAGCUGCAUCUCAGCUUUCCAGGAUAUAGUCCAUCAUUCUAUAUUUCAUCUCUGUGACCAGAGCCAGUCUGGGAAGCAGAAGAGACAACAUGAAAGCACUGGAAUUGGAACACCAUUAUCUGGAACUCUUUGGACCAAAAAGUCCCAAUCCUGUGCUGAACUGAUCCUUUACUGAGGAAAAGUCAGGAACCAGCAUAGUCCUUUCCCUAAGCAGCAGGGCACUGUGUUCAGAAGAGAGCUUGCAAGAGUGAUCUUUUAUUGCCGACAUCCACACGCUGUAGGUGCAGCUCUCUGCUGCCUGUCCUUGAGCAGUGUAGCUGCUCUCCAGCUGGUUAGCAUUUAUGCAGCAAUCAGCAGGAAGAACUAAGUGGAGCUGCAGUGUUCCUGUGUAGCUCAGCAGAAAAAUGUUGUGUGCUCUGCAUUGCUUUGGACUGCUCUGAUAAAUUCUAAUCGACAGGCUUCAGCAGCACAGCCAUUGCACGAGUGCUCACCAUUGCAUGGGCUGGGGAAGGAAUGAGCAGCAUGGAGUGAUAACAAUGAACAGGCAAAAAGUAUCCUGUGGAGGUGCAAAAGUGAGAUUUUAGGAUUUUACACUUUCAUGGAUUUCCACAAAGUAUUUAAUUUUUUUUUUUUUAAUAACUAGGAAUGAUCAUAUUGUGGUAUUUUAUUUUGGUUCGUUGGUUUGUUUAUUGGGAGGGGGGAAAAGCAUAAAUGGUAUGGAAGCAGGUCUAUUAACUAUUGAAUAUAACAUUACCGAAUUCAUAACGGACAAGAUAACUUUUUUUCCCUUGAAGUAAUUUAGGGCAACUACACUUCAUCCAGUGCAAUGGCAGAUGGAAGUGGGAGGGAGUUCAUGCUCUCUGACCCUGCUCUGAGAGAUGGCUGCGUGAACCUUACCUGCCCGCCCUUCAACAGAAAGGAACAAAUUUGUAACAGCAUGAGGGAUCCACCCAAGAAGAAUCCUUUGAGUCACUAGCAGCACUGCAUUGCCUUGUUACUUCAACUUGCUCAUUAUGAGACCUUUUGCCCAGUUCUUCCAGAAUGCAAAAAGCAUUUCUGUCUGGCCUGCUUGUAACUGCUUAAAAUAAAUUCUUCAAUGAGCAUCA